CCUACGGGGGGCAGCAGUGGGGAAUCUUGCACAAUGGGGGAAAGCCUGAUGCAGCGACGCCGCGUGAGCGAUGAAGUAUUUCGGGAUGUAAAGUGCUAUCAGAAGGGAGGAAAAUGACGGUACCUGAUUAAGAAGCACCGGCUAACUACGUGCCAGCAGCCGCGGUAAUACGUAGGGGGCGAGCGUUAUCCGGAUUUACUGGGUGUAAAGGGAGCGGGGAGGGCGGUGCAAGCCAUAUGUGAAAGCCCGGGGCUCAACCCCGGGACUGUAUUUGGAACUGUGCUGCUAGAGUGUCGGAGAGGCAAGUGGAAUUCCUAGUGUAGCGGUGAAAUGCGUAGAUAUUAGGAGGAACACCAGUGGCGAAGGCAGGCUGCUGGA
This 378-nucleotide ribosomal RNA is filed under the name uncultured bacterium. Its description in RNAcentral is "partial 16S ribosomal RNA". It matches the Rfam family "Bacterial small subunit ribosomal RNA", at positions 338 to 733 of the family's 1533-position model. The record is from RNAcentral.